This 29-nucleotide non-coding RNA is filed under the name Mus musculus (house mouse). The record is from RNAcentral. Lineage: Eukaryota; Metazoa; Chordata; Mammalia; Rodentia; Muridae. RNAcentral also lists the same sequence under 1 other name.
UGCAAACAGCAGACUCAUCUGAAGAGAAU